GGUUUAAUUCGAUGAUACGCGAGGAACCUUACCCGGGCUUGAACUGCAGGCGAACGAUUCAGAGAUGAUGAGGCCCUUCGGGGCGCCUGUGGAGGUGCUGCAUGGUUGUCGUCAGCUCGUGCCGUGAGGUGUCGGCUUAAGUGCCAUAACGAGCGCAACCCCUGUUCUCAGUUGCCAUCGGGUAAUGCCGGGCACUCUGUGAAGACUGCCUCCGCAAGGAGUGA
Molecule: ribosomal RNA, 224 nt
Filed under: uncultured bacterium
Lineage: Bacteria
Description: partial 16S ribosomal RNA
Rfam family: Bacterial small subunit ribosomal RNA
Source: RNAcentral